Molecule: ribosomal RNA, 485 nt
Filed under: uncultured bacterium
Lineage: Bacteria
Description: partial 16S ribosomal RNA
Rfam family: Bacterial small subunit ribosomal RNA
Source: RNAcentral
GAUGAACGCUGGCGGCGUGCUUAACACAUGCAAGUCGAACGGGAUCCAAGGGGUGCUUGCACUUUUUGGUGAGAGUGGCGAACGGGUGAGUAACACGUGAGUAACCUGUCCUUUUCUUUGGGAUAAGCAUUCGAAAGGGUGUUUAAUACCUUAUGUUCUGUCUGCCUCGCAUGGGGUGGGUGGGAAAGGCUUUGGCCGGAUUUGGGUGGGCUCGCGGUCUACCAGCUUGUUGGUGGGGUGAUGGCUUACCAAGGCUUUGACGGGUAGCCGGCCUGAGAGGGUGGUCGGUCACAGUGGGACUGAGAUACGGCCCAGACUCCUGCGGGAGGCAGCAGUGGGGGAUAUUGCACAAUGGGCGAAAGCCUGAUGCAGCGACGCCGCGUGGGGGAUGAAGGCCUGCGGGUUGUAAACUUCUGUUGCUCUGAACAAGGCAUGCCAGUGGGUGUGUUGAGUGUAGGGGUGGAUUAGCGCCGGCUAACUACGUG